This 1383-nucleotide ribosomal RNA is filed under the name Helicobacter pylori. RNAcentral's name for it is "16S ribosomal RNA". It matches the Rfam family "Bacterial small subunit ribosomal RNA". Lineage: Bacteria; Pseudomonadati; Campylobacterota; Epsilonproteobacteria; Campylobacterales; Helicobacteraceae. The record is from RNAcentral.
ACGCUGGCGGCGUGCCUAAUACAUGCAAGUCGAACGAUGAAGCUUCUAGCUUGCUAGAGUGCUGAUUAGUGGCGCACGGGUGAGUAACGCAUAGGUCAUGUGCCUCUUAGUUUGGGAUAGCCAUUGGAAACGAUGAUUAAUACCAGAUACUCCCUACGGGGGAAAGAUUUAUCGCUAAGAGAUCAGCCUAUGUCCUAUCAGCUUGUUGGUAAGGUAAUGGCUUACCAAGGCUAUGACGGGUAUCCGGCCUGAGAGGGUGAACGGACACACUGGAACUGAGACACGGUCCAGACUCCUACGGGAGGCAGCAGUAGGGAAUAUUGCUCAAUGGGGGAAACCCUGAAGCAGCAACGCCGCGUGGAGGAUGAAGGUUUUAGGAUUGUAAACUCCUUUUGUUAGAGAAGAUAAUGACGGUAUCUAACGAAUAAGCACCGGCUAACUCCGUGCCAGCAGCCGCGGUAAUACGGAGGGUGCAAGCGUUACUCGGAAUCACUGGGCGUAAAGAGCGCGUAGGCGGGAUAGUCAGUCAGGUGUGAAAUCCUAUGGCUUAACCAUAGAACUGCAUUUGAAACUACUAUUCUAGAGUGUGGGAGAGGUAGGUGGAAUUCUUGGUGUAGGGGUAAAAUCCGUAGAGAUCAAGAGGAAUACUCAUUGCGAAGGCGACCUGCUGGAACAUUACUGACGCUGAUUGCGCGAAAGCGUGGGGAGCAAACAGGAUUAGAUACCCUGGUAGUCCACGCCCUAAACGAUGGAUGCUAGUUGUUGGAGGGCUUAGUCUCUCCAGUAAUGCAGCUAACGCAUUAAGCAUCCCGCCUGGGGAGUACGGUCGCAAGAUUAAAACUCAAAGGAAUAGACGGGGACCCGCACAAGCGGUGGAGCAUGUGGUUUAAUUCGAGUAUACACGAAGAACCUUACCUAGGCUUGACAUUGAGAGAAUCCGCUAGAAAUAGUGGAGUGUCUGGCUUGCCAGACCUUGAAAACAGGUGCUGCACGGCUGUCGUCAGCUCGUGUCGUGAGAUGUUGGGUUAAGUCCCGCAACGAGCGCAACCCCCUUUCUUAGUUGCUAACAGGUCAUGCUGAGAACUCUAAGGAUACUGCCUCCGUAAGGAGGAGGAAGGUGGGGACGACGUCAAGUCAUCAUGGCCCUUACGCCUAGGGCUACACACGUGCUACAAUGGGGUGCACAAAGAGAAGCAAUACUGCGAAGUGGAGCCAAUCUUCAAAACACCUCUCAGUUCGGAUUGUAGGCUGCAACUCGCCUGCAUGAAGCUGGAAUCGCUAGUAAUCGCAAAUCAGCCAUGUUGCGGUGAAUACGUUCCCGGGUCUUGUACUCACCGCCCGUCACACCAUGGGAGUUGUGUUUGCCUUAAGUCAGGAUGCUAA